GAUGAACGCUGGCGGCGUGCCUAAUACAUGCAAGUCGAGCGAACAGACGAGGAGCUUGCUCCUCUGACGUUAGCGGCGGACGGGUGAGUAACACGUGGAUAACCUACCUAUAAGACUGGGAUAACUUCGGGAAACCGGAGCUACUACCGGAUAAUAUAUUGAACCGCAUGGUUCAAUAGUGAAAGACGGUUUUGCUGUCACUUAUAGCUGGAUCCGCGCCGCAUUAGCUAGUUGGUAAGGUAACGGCUUACCAAGGCAACGAUGCGUAGCCGACCUGAGAGGGUGAUCGGCCACACUGGAACUGAGACACGGUCCAGACUCCUACGGGAGGCAGCAGUAGGGAAUCUUCCGCAAUGGGCGAAAGCCUGACGGAGCAACGCCGCGUGAGUGAUGAAGGUCUUCGGAUCGUAAAACUCUGUUAUUAGGGAAGAACAAAUGUGUAAGUAACUAUGCACGUCUUGACGGUACCUAAUCAGAAAGCCACGGCUAACUACGUG
RNAcentral lists this ribosomal RNA (497 nucleotides) under uncultured bacterium. RNAcentral's name for it is "partial 16S ribosomal RNA". It matches the Rfam family "Bacterial small subunit ribosomal RNA", at positions 28 to 507 of the family's 1533-position model. The record is from RNAcentral.